Molecule: transfer RNA, 71 nt
Filed under: Mycobacterium sp. AZCC_0083
Lineage: Bacteria; Bacillati; Actinomycetota; Actinomycetes; Mycobacteriales; Mycobacteriaceae
Description: tRNA-Met
Source: RNAcentral
GGCGGCGACGCAAGACGGUCACCGGUUGGCUCAUAACCCAGAGGUCGCAGGUUCGAAUCCUGUCCCCGCUA